AUGUAAUUCCAUACAAUGGACAUGAUUUUACUUUAAAUAUAUAAAAUUCCUCAUCAUUGAUAGAUGUUUUGAUUGAUGAAAAUUUAUUUUGAAUUUUAAAAUUUAUCAAAUCUGUUUAAUUUAAAAUUUUAUUUUGAUUUAUUUAAAAAUAUAAUUCCAUUUAUUUUAUAUUUUGUAAUUUUAAUUAAUUCAAUUUAUUUAUUUUUGAAAAACAAGGGUUCAACCAACACACCGUGUUUCUCCAUAGCGUGGUUCACCCAUCAUUUCUUCUCUACUCUCCUUUCUCAUUAUCGCAGAGAUAAACUCCCCCCUUUCUUCGAUUCUUCCUAACCUCCUCUGUCCUUGACUUUUUUAUUUUCUCUUUGUCUUGUUCUAUCGCUCUCUAUUUUGCUUUUAUUCAUCGAUUUCAUUAUUCCAUUUGUGGCUGCUAUCGAAGUUUGUUUCAAGUCUGUGAUAUUAGCUCGUGGGAUUUCUGCAAUUUUUCUCUGGGUGAUUCUGGAAAAGGGCUUAGCAGAGAUCGUGGGAUUGCAAGGUUAAAUGUGAUGAGGCAGUAGGUUUGUCACCAGAGACUGAUGCUUCUUUUGAUUUUUGAAUAAAAGCACUUUCCUGGCCGCAAGAUCUUAAGUCGAUUUAUCUAUCAAAUUAAUGGCAUAGAUUUCAAAAAUGGCUAUUAUAUCAAUUAAAAUUCAGAUUCUCAUUUGAUGUCUCUCAAAAUACUUCUGCAACAGCUAUUGUCUAUGUAAUGGUUAUUCCUAAAAAAUUUUGUUGUCAGCAUUAUAUUUGGUUUAUGGUGGUGCCGAUUAUGUGUUACAUGGCUUCUAUAAUGGUUUAAAUUGAACUGGGAAAGAAAAGUUUGUAAACUAAGCUCUGUUCUUCUGUAUUUUUCAUUCUAUCAUAACUGUCGUAGGCCUCCGGCUUGUCCACUUGGCUUUUGUAGGAACUGAGAGGUAGGAACUAGGAAUGGAGAAUGUUUUGACCUUGCACAAUUAUUCUGUCAUCUCUUCUGUGAGAGGAAUAUGAAAUAUCAAAAUGUUGUAUAUUUUA
Long non-coding RNA from Hevea brasiliensis (rubber tree), 1044 nucleotides. RefSeq lists it as uncharacterized. The transcript has 2 exons. Lineage: Eukaryota; Viridiplantae; Streptophyta; Magnoliopsida; Malpighiales; Euphorbiaceae. The record is from RefSeq and is a predicted model, not a curated record.